This 231-nucleotide long non-coding RNA is filed under the name Phoenix dactylifera (date palm). Its description in RNAcentral is "long non-coding RNA (PDAC_LNC011013)". The record is from RNAcentral. Lineage: Eukaryota; Viridiplantae; Streptophyta; Magnoliopsida; Arecales; Arecaceae.
CGGAAUUCCCCAGAGGAGCCUCGUAGCCGGAGCCCACCGGCAACCCGAUCUCCUCCUCCGGCUCGUCGUGGUCGUCGAAGUCCAUCUCCGGAUCCGUCGACCGGAGAUCCCCGGUCAGAUCUCGAGAUCAGGACCCGGACCUCCUCCCCCCUCCCUUUCUCUAACUCCCUCUUUCUUUUCUCUAACUCUCGGGCUUAGCCUAGCUUUAGCUUAGGGGAGGAGAUAAGAGAG